GCCAUCUGAGCCCUGCAGGGGCGUCUGUGGCUUUGGAUGUCCCUGGGAAGCGGGUAGGACUUACCACUUCUGUACAGAGCCUCUGCCCCCACCCCCCAUCCUGAGAAGCAUUGCCCACACGCACAAGCUCAUUGGGUUCCCGCGUGGGGUCCGGGGAGUGGACAUGAAUGCACGAUGGGACAGGCACAGCAUCUCGGGCACAGGGGAUGCAAGUGACAGCCAGCGUGAGGUGGUUCCCUGCACAGCAGGGGUGGGAAGGCAGAGCCAGCCUGGCCCUUUCCUUCCUCUCCAGCAUCUCUGUACUUCCCCGCCCCCUGCUGCUCUCCCACCCAGGAGCCGCCUGGGCUCCUCUGGGUUGUCGUGAAAGGCAGAUUGCAAACACUGCAUUCCCUGGACAGUUGGAGGCAGACCUGCAGAGGAAUAGCAGCUCAGCGCAGGGCCUCUUCCCAGAUGGAAGGUCGAAGGACAAGGGUGGUUUGGGGGCACUGUCCUCCCUGCCGCCCUGAACUAGGGAUUUGGAAUCCCCCAGCAGAGUGGAGGGAAAAAAAACAGCAGGGAGACUAGAUGACAUUAUUUCCAAGCAGUUCUCCACCUCCCCUCGCCCCAUUUCCAUUUUCCAAAGUGUAAGUUCUUUUUAUAUAAGCACUUUCUGUGAAGGGGGGGAAAGCUUUACCCACGGUGUGAAGUACAUACUCUCUGAUGUAAAUCAGGAAGCUGUUAAUACUGUAAUAAGAGCACGGGGUGUAUUAAUUGAUGCCAAUGGUGGAGAGGAAUAUUCAUAAUCGGCAGCGGCCUUUUCUUUGGAAGGAACAAAGGCUCAAGUUAGGGAGACAGUAAGGUAUUGUUCGCAGACUCUUUCAGUGAUUUUCUCCUCGGAAGAGUAGAGAAAGGUGAAAUUCCAACUGGGACUAUUCGACUAUGUCGAUCUCCGCUCAGGGGCCCUCCGCUCUCUUUAAACUGCCGAGCUGUGCUUUGCCUUAUGAUCCAAUUGUUUUAUUAGCGCAAUCAUCACGUGUUUCAUUUUGCCACAGUAAUAGCGCAGUGUCUGUCUAACAAUAAAUUAUAGAGUCAGGCAAACAAUAGUUUUGUAUUUGGGAUACAAUGAAAUAUCUUAUUGAAAUGCAGCCUUCCUUAGGUUCCUGAAAUUAGAGGCUUAUUUUACAGCGAUUCCGUUGGGCUUAAUACACAGUUUUGAACUAAUCACACGAACAGAAUCCCUCCUUUGUCAGAGCGUGGAGGGCUGUGGGAGUUUCUUGUUCCUUUAGCAUGUUCCCAUUCAUAUUUUAUUCUCCCGUUCUGUUCUGGAUAGGUCGUACCGGUUUGACACAGAGCUGCAUCAUGCUAGUAGCAUCCCCUUCUUUGCUCCAAAGAUAAAAUGAGAUCUAAAGCAGCUGCAUCCUUCUGGCCACAUUUCCCGAGCAGAUGCUCUGUUCUGAUCACGGUGUGGGUAGCAUCGUGGUCGUAAUAAUGAAUCCUAUUUCUUGAAGGAUUAUUUUCUACUGGGCACGACAGUAAAUGGUUUACGUGGUUCAUCUUGGAGGCUCCUCGUUCGGGCCACCUGGGAGUAGAUACUGUCAUUAUCUCCAUUUCGCAGAUGAGGAGAGCGGGGCUUGGGUCACGCAGCUUGGCUGAGAUGCGCAUCCCUGCCGUCGAGCCUGGGAGAUGCUUUUGGUUUGUUGUUGCUGAUUCAGUUUCACGUCUGUCCCUUCUCGCCGCCUUGACGAGAAGCCUUCUUCCUCUCUCUGGACUCCAGCACACUCUGCCAACGGGGUCGAGGUGGGGAAUACACGAGUCAGACGUGCUCCUGUUGCACUUCCAGGUGCUGAAGAGCACGUCUCCCUCCAGGGCCGGAUUCCACGUUGUGCGGUACGUCUCUCAUCGCCUCUCAGCCUCUCCGCAGCAGGCCUCCUCUGAAUCCUCUUCCCACGCAGCCCCGGACUUUUACUUUUAGACGUGGGCCUUUCUUUGCAGGCUUGAUUUUGGCAGCGUUCCUGGCAAGGAUGCCCCACCCUCGGUGUCUCAUCACCUUCCUCACCCCCCCACCAGCCCCUCGCUGAUAUCUCAUCGCCCCGGUCUGCCUUCAGCAAGAAUCCACUGAGCAAGAAUUGCCCUCCCCUCUUAAAAAUGUUCUCCCCGGGCCCUCCCCCGCUGGCGGUGAGGUCACCACUUUGCCUCAUGGCGUCGGAGUUGAGCCCAAUCUCUCCAGCCUUCUGCAGAGUGCACGGGGGCCCCCUGGAUAAAGCCUGCCUUACUGGUCUUUACCAAGUGUCCUGAAUCAUUUCUUGUCUCUAACACCACGUUACGGCUUAUCUGCUUGGGCAGUGGGUUGGGGAUGAGGACGCCAGGUGAGUGCGGUCCAUCCAGCGGAUCCUCCAUGGGUUGUGGGGAACCUGCUGUGGGGAGACACGAGCCGGCACUCAGAGGCUCGCACAUGCAGGUGGGCCCGCAGUGUCUUCUCACACAUGGUGACUGCUGGGGACGCCCCUCCUGUCUUCUCUGCACCACACCAGUGCCCUCACCCUCUGCCAGGCUGUCCUCCCGGCCCGCAGGGAUGCCUCCCUCUACAGGUGUUCCUUUGUAAAUACUCAGCAAAUAUUCUGGGAGCUCACGUGUGCGGAGGCGGUGCUGAGACAUGGUACCAGGAUGAGCGGAAGAAAACGAUCCCCUCUCAGAUCCCAGCGGCUCAUGUGUGACUGCGUUUUCACCAGGCUGUUUAGAAAUGGGGCAGAUGUAGACAGGGUGGUGAGUUUUGCAGCAGGUGCAUUGCAUCCAUUUUUAAAACUGGCCUCUGCUUUAGACGGCGCUCCUUCACCCGCUGUUGUUGUGUUGUGUUGUCGUUGUCCUUGUUGCUCAAUGCCUUUUCUUUUAGUAAAGAUGACAGAAAAUGAUGCUACUCUUUCCGUCCUUCUUUUUUCUUUUUUUGUUGAGGUGGCGUUUCUCUCUCUGAUUUUUUUUUUUUUUUUUGAGUCCUUAAUUUGGAGAAAUAAAAAGUUGACAAGGGCGUGUCACUGUGCCCCUUUUAUUUUUUCCUUUCAGAUAUGACUGACCCUUAUCCCUGACAGUCUAGGAGUGUCUGCUUUGUCCCUGUCCUCGAAGCUGGCCGCCUGAUGUCACCCCCAUCCUGCAUGGUUUUUCACGAUUGUUUAAACGUGGGCGCAUCUCUCUCACCUCCUGCUUCCUCAGCCUCCCUCAAGGUGUGCCAGGCACGCCCGGGCAUGGGCAAGGAAUGGAACUUGGAGAUCUGACUUCUGAGCCCUAAGAAAAUAAAACAAAACAAAAAACCUCUGAAAACUCCAGGCACAACACAAAGGCAGGAGGACUCUUGUCAAGAGCCCUUAUUUCUCCAUCUUUCCCGUGGCCCUU
This 3363-nucleotide long non-coding RNA is filed under the name Sus scrofa (pig). RNAcentral describes it as "lncRNA (ENSSSCG00055021267.1)". The record is from RNAcentral. Lineage: Eukaryota; Metazoa; Chordata; Mammalia; Artiodactyla; Suidae.